This 299-nucleotide signal recognition particle RNA is filed under the name Cebus imitator (Panamanian white-faced capuchin). Its description in RNAcentral is "Metazoan signal recognition particle RNA (ENSCCAG00000002042.1)". It matches the Rfam family "Metazoan signal recognition particle RNA". Rfam says of the family: The signal recognition particle (SRP) is a universally conserved ribonucleoprotein. The record is from RNAcentral. Lineage: Eukaryota; Metazoa; Chordata; Mammalia; Primates; Cebidae.
GCUGGGCGCGGUGGUGCACGCCUAUAGUCCCAGCUACUCAGGAGGCUGAAGCUGGAGUAUCGCUUGAGUCCAGGAGUUCUGGGCUGUAGUGUGCCAUGCCAGUUCAGUGUCUGCACUAAGUUCAGCAUCCAUAUGGUGACCUCCCAGGAGCAGGGGACCACCAGGUUGCCUAAAGAAGGGUGAACCAGCCCAGGUCAGAAACGGAGCAGGUCAAAACUCCCGUGCCGAUCAGUAGUGGGAUUGCGCCUGUGAAUAGCCACUGCACUCCAGCCUGGGCAAUAUAGAGAGACCCCAUCUCU